RNAcentral lists this ribosomal RNA (253 nucleotides) under uncultured bacterium. Its description in RNAcentral is "partial 16S ribosomal RNA". It matches the Rfam family "Bacterial small subunit ribosomal RNA", at positions 524 to 776 of the family's 1533-position model. The record is from RNAcentral.
UACAGAGGUGGCAAGCGUUGUUCGGAACUACUGGGCGUAAAGGGCGAGUAGGCGGCCUCCUAAGUCAGACGUGAAAUCCCCCGGCUUAACCUGGGAACUGCGUCUGAUACUGGGAAGCUUGAGUAUGGGAGAGGAAGGUAGAAUUCCAGGUGUAGCGGUGAAAUGCGUAGAUAUCUGGAGGAAUACCGGUGGCGAAGGCGGCCUUCUGGACCAUAACUGACGCUGAUCCGCGAAAGCUAGGGGAGCAAGCGGG